Molecule: transfer RNA, 71 nt
Filed under: Loxodonta africana (African savanna elephant)
Lineage: Eukaryota; Metazoa; Chordata; Mammalia; Proboscidea; Elephantidae
Rfam family: tRNA
About the family: Transfer RNA (tRNA) molecules are approximately 80 nucleotides in length. Their secondary structure includes four short double-helical elements and three loops (D, anti-codon, and T loops).
Source: Rfam by way of RNAcentral
GUGUUGGUGGUUCAGUGGUAGAAUUCUCCCCCUCCAUGUGGGAGAUCUGGGUUUAAUUCCCGGCCAGUGCA